UGACUUCGGAAGGGGCGUAUUUAUUAGAUUAAAAACCAAUGCCCUCUGGGCUCCUUGGUGAAUCAUGAUAACUUCACGAAUCGCACGGCCUUGCGCNGGCGAUGGCUCAUUCAAAUUUCUUCCCUAUCAACUUUCGAUGUUUGGGUAGUGGCCAAACAUGGUUGCAACGGGUAACGGAGGGUUAGGGCUCGACCCCGGAGAAGGAGCCUGAGAAACGGCUACUACAUCCAAGGAAGGCAGCAGGCGCGCAAAUUACCCAAUCCCGAUUCGGGGAGGUAGUGACAAUAAAUACUGAUACAGGGCUCUUUCGGGUCUUGUAAUCGGAAUGAGUACAAUUUAAAUCCCUUAACGAGGAACAAUUGGAGGGCAAGUCUGGUGCCAGCAGCCGCGGUAAUUCCAGCUCCAAUAGCGUAUAUUAAAGUUGUUGUGGUUAAAAAGCUCGUAGUUGAACCUUGGGCCUGGCUGGCCGGUCCGCCUCACCGCGUGUACUGGUCCGGCCGGGCCUUUCCCUCUGUGGAACCUCAUGCCCUUCACUGGGUGUGCUGGGGAAACAGGACUUUUACUUUGAAAAAAUUAGAGUGCUCCAGGCAGGCCUAUGCUCGAAUACAUUAGCAUGGAAUAAUAAAAUAGGACGUGCGGUUCUAUUUUGUUGGUUUCUAGGACCGCCGUAAUGAUUAAUAGGGACAGUCGGGGGCAUCAGUAUUCAAUUGUCAGAGGUGAAAUUCUUGGAUUUAUUGAAGACUAACUACUGCGAAAGCAUUUGCCAAGGAUGUUUUCAUUAAUCAGGAACGAAAGUUAGGGGAUCGAAAACGAUCAGAUACCGUUGUAGUCUUAACCAUAAACUAUGCCGACUAGGGAUCGGACGAUGUUAUUUUUUGACUCGUUCG
This 887-nucleotide ribosomal RNA is filed under the name Memnoniella oblongispora. RNAcentral describes it as "SSU rRNA". It matches the Rfam family "Eukaryotic small subunit ribosomal RNA", at positions 184 to 1082 of the family's 1831-position model. Lineage: Eukaryota; Fungi; Ascomycota; Sordariomycetes; Hypocreales; Stachybotryaceae. The record is from RNAcentral.